This is a small nucleolar RNA of Sorex araneus (European shrew), 128 nucleotides long. The record is from Ensembl. Lineage: Eukaryota; Metazoa; Chordata; Mammalia; Eulipotyphla; Soricidae.
AAAAAAAAAAAAUCACACAUUACUUUGGCUUUGGCUACGGGAAAGGUUUGGUGCCCAGAAUCAGCACAUGGUCUCUGCUCACCUCCCAUUCUUCAAUGUGGGAAGGUGUAAUCAGGGUCCUGAGAUAA